Molecule: small nucleolar RNA, 87 nt
Filed under: Sorex araneus (European shrew)
Lineage: Eukaryota; Metazoa; Chordata; Mammalia; Eulipotyphla; Soricidae
Description: Small nucleolar RNA SNORA40 (ENSSARG00000018714.1)
Rfam family: Small nucleolar RNA SNORA40
About the family: The snoRNA ACA 40 belongs to the H/ACA family of snoRNAs and guides the pseudouridylation of 28S rRNA subunit at position U4565. NB This family has a high threshold value to exclude a large number of closely related sequences that do not appear to have conserved H and ACA boxes, and may be pseudogenes.
Source: RNAcentral
UUCAGACAGGUGAAAAGACUAAAUCCACUUUUGCAACCCAGAACUCAUUACUGUAUAUGAGUUCUGAAACAGAUAAGAAGGAAUAUG